CCUACGGGAGUCAGCAGUGAGGAAUAUUGGUCAAUGGGCGCGAGCCUGAACCAGCCAAGUAGCGUGAAGGAUGACUGCCCUACGGGUUGUAAACUUCUUUUAUAAAGGAAUAAAGUGAGGCACGUGUGCCUUUUUGUAUGUACUUUAUGAAUACGGAUCGGCUAACUCCGUGCCAUCAGCCGCGGUAAUACGGAGGAUCCGAGCGUUAUCCGGAUUUAUUGGGUUUAAAGGGAGCGUAGAUGGGUUGUUAAGUCAGUUGUGAAAGUUUGCGGCUCAACCGUAAAAUUGCAAUUGAUACUGGCAGUCUUGAGUACAGUUGAGGUAGGCGGAAUUCGUGGUGUAGCGGUGAAAUGCUUAGAUAUCACGAAGAACUCCGAUUGCGAAGGCAGCUUACUAAACUGCCACUGACAUUGAUGCUCGAAAGUGUGGGUAUCAAACAGGAUUAGAUACCCUUGUAGUC
RNAcentral lists this ribosomal RNA (460 nucleotides) under uncultured bacterium. RNAcentral's name for it is "partial 16S ribosomal RNA". It matches the Rfam family "Bacterial small subunit ribosomal RNA", at positions 338 to 795 of the family's 1533-position model. The record is from RNAcentral.